Molecule: non-coding RNA, 1083 nt
Organism: Erythranthe guttata (spotted monkey flower)
Lineage: Eukaryota; Viridiplantae; Streptophyta; Magnoliopsida; Lamiales; Phrymaceae
Source: RefSeq, a predicted model, not a curated record
UCUUCGAAACACUUAUCUGAUGUACCACUCAGCCUAGAGGGCAUAAACGGCUGGGCAUACCAUGACUUUGAGAACUGCAAAAAAUCUUCUCCACGUUUGACGUUGACUUCUCUUCACAUGUCUAUAAGUAACGUCCUCUUCAAAUUUAUUAUUUGUUCUUACACUCAACAUUUCUAUCUCGAUGGUGUUGUUAACGUUAAUAGCAUCUUUUUCCGUUCCCUUAAUUUUUUUUAAUGAUAUUACAUAUGUUCUAUUUUAACAUCUCACCAUCUCUCGCCUACUACGUUAUUGUAAUGGUUUUCAAAUUUUAGAAAUUUUACAAUACUUUAGUUUUUUUUUUCAGUGUUUAUUGUCGUUCUAAUUCCUGUAUUUUUUAUUUAAUUUCUCGAGAUCAUUGGCAUAAGUUGUCCUGUUAAGGUUUCCUGUCUUAUUUGCUUUGGCUUAUAAUUUGCUUAUCCCUUAUGAUCAUGUGUGACAUACUUGAAUGUUUGUCUUCUUAUUAUCUGGCUGGGAGUUGCGAUAACGAAAAUAUAGUAAGACAUUUUGCAUUUUUUAUUCAGAUAGUGAUUGUUUAUUUAGAUAUUGAUUUAUUAUGUUUUAUCACAAUUUGCUUGAGUUGGUGUGUGGUACUUGAUGUGUUGUCAAACUGGAAUUCACUAUUGCAGUAAGGUAGCUUGCAAUUCCAUAUUUGUGGCAUUAUGUGUGCGUAUGUGUUUCUUUAUGAAUCAAUAUUUCUACGUAUAUAUGUAUUUGUUUUAUAUGGAUUUGUUUUUAUAAACUUAACAUUAUUUUUAUUAAUUCUGUAGGAUUUCUUUAUCAUCUGUGAUAAUGAAUGAUGUCACGAUUUCUUUACAAAAAUCAUUGAAGAAACGAGUUGGAGAUUAACGAAUGAAUGGUUUUGUUUUCGGUUGGAAUAUUGUUUCAUGUCGUCUCUCCAUUCCCUUCGAAAUUAUUCCUACAAGAUCAAUUAAAGAUGACAAUUUACCAAGGGCAUUUCUACUGGACGUCGGUCACCUGAAAUAGGAAUUGGGUUCUCCUUUUCCAUUUGCCAUGUUUUUCUUUCAUCUUUAUUCUGUUAUUUUG